CGUGCUUUUAUCAUUAGUCGAACAACUGAUAAACAACUAAGUUACGAUUGUUAAGGCGGCGUCCAAAACCGGUUGGUUUGUUGGUUGAAAAAUUGGUCGUAAGAUACAAUUAAAAUAACAAAUAAUUGCAUGGGCGCACCUCAACCGAUUCGCUAUGAUGCUAUCAAAUUAAUCUUUUUACUUAUAGUCAAGCAGGCUUUGUCGACAUUGAAGGCUGGUAUCGUGCAAGAGUUAUUUUAUGAAAUCGUACUACUGGAAAAGGUGGUGUAAGUGCAUGGUAUACGAACCACCGUAGUGUCACAUACGAAGUCCUGUCAAGGCCGUAAAAUCGGAUUGCGAGUGCGAUGUUCGAUGCAACGGAUUCAUUUUCUGAGGAACUGUGUCAAAAGGGUUUGACAAGACCCCUACGCCUAUACCUAUAAUUCGUAAGCUGCGUUCCCCACAUUUAGGAGAGCUUCUAAGUUCGGGCGAAUUGGAGAUGGAAUGUAGCGGAGUGACAUCGGUGAACGACUCCGAUUCGAGGUCAGAUUCGAAUAAGUCUUCCGAAGAUAGCGA
Long non-coding RNA from Varroa destructor (honeybee mite), 555 nucleotides. The record is from RefSeq and is a predicted model, not a curated record. Lineage: Eukaryota; Metazoa; Arthropoda; Arachnida; Mesostigmata; Varroidae.